AUUUUGACAAAAACAAAAUAAGAGUAGAUCUAGGUGUUGAAAAUAAGGGCAUGUGAACUACAUUAACUGUUAGCGGAAUAUGUGGUUAAGUGGAUAAAUGUCUAAGAUAAAUGUAAAUUAAUUCAAUUGAAGUAGAAGCAAAACCGGAGCCUAGCUAUCCCUCGGAGGGAUGGAAUUAUUCUACAUUUAGUACGUCAGGGACAUAUACAACGUAAAUAAAUGUAUAAUAUAUGUGUCUAAUUAAUGAUAUACGAGCUGUUAGUAAAAAUGUUAAAUAAAUUUCCUCUCUGAUCAUGUACGGUGUUCUAAAAAACAAAUAAUUUAAAUCGUAUGCUUUAAAAAAUACUGAUCAAUGAAAAAUUAAAAAUAAUAGAAAAUUAAAAAUAUAGACAAGAGGCAAGAACUAUUUGCUAGAACAGCGUUACAAUAAAUUAAUGGUUUAUAUAUCAGGUUAUAAAAGAGAAAUAUAUAAAAAAAAAAUCGAAAAAUUCCCAAUAAAUAAUUAUUAAUGGAAUGUAAUUGUGACAACUUUAUUCUUACACAUCGCGGAUCAAUUGCAACAAAAAUCCAUUGCUGUAUACAUUCUAAAUAAACGAGUUGAUUCUGAUUAAACAUGUGUAGCACAUUAUACAAACAAUGCAAUCAUUAAUAUUUACUAAACACACCAUAGGUAUCAUGUUACCUGUGAUCGGCUGCUGAGGAAAGUAUACCGUAAGGCUAUUUAUAGAUCAUAGCACAUAAGAUAUUACACAUCCGAAGUGCUUGUCUGGAUACACUGCUGUUCUUAGUGACCCCCCUCGGAACCAAAGAAAUUUUCGAUGCUUUGUUUAUUCGAUAGAUUCAGGAAAUAACCGGAGGGAUGGAAUUAUUCUUCUGGAGGUUUUAAAACAAUAGAUGAAAGGAAAGUACCGGUGUUAACGAUAGAUAUCUGAACGUGCAAUAUGGCGGAUACUGCUGAAGGGGGUUCAGAGCAGGA
This 976-nucleotide long non-coding RNA is filed under the name Mytilus galloprovincialis (Mediterranean mussel). Lineage: Eukaryota; Metazoa; Mollusca; Bivalvia; Mytilida; Mytilidae. The record is from RNAcentral.